GCCUCAGGAAGGAAGGGAAGGUAUUGCCGGGGACGCGUCACUGAGGCUCUGGGGGAAGGUCAUGAACAGGCAGAGUCCAGUCAACUCCCCUGGGGAUCAGAACUCUCAGGAGCAGGCCUCUCCACAGAGCGCUGGAAAAGAAGCCCUGAGGGGCUGGGGGUGGUCCUGGACCCUUCCCCCCAGAGAUCUGCUGGUCCAUGGUGACGAGGCUCCCCCACAGCACCAGGGAGCGGGCUGAGAGCCAGGAGCAGGAUGCGAUUCUGCCUGAGCUCAAGGCUGGGCCCUUUUCUCCACAUGGCUCUGCUUGAGUCUGAGUUUAGUUGGGAGGUAUCACCUCCAAGAAGUUUUCUCAGAGCAAAGAAAUCCAGGGGAAAUGAAGCACUGAUCUUGUGUUAAAGGCAAGCUGUACCGCAGGCCAGGCCCGUCCAGCGGUGCCUCUGUGACAGUCCAGCUAAUGGUGCUGAGAGCUGACACUCCCAGCGGGCGCUGUCUUCCGCUGACCCCAUCCGCGGGACCUCCCUUCCUCACUCUCGUCCUUAAAGACGCUAAUAGAUUUUCUAUAGCUGCAGGCAGAGCAAACCUCUGCUGGUCUGAACUAAUGUAGAAGAAUUAGAAAAGAUUUACUGGGAAUUCUCUAUUUCUUUUCUUUAUUUUCCCUUUCAGCACAAAAAAAAGAAAACAUAUGACCUAAAUCUGCCAGACCCCUUUGAAAAGGAGGAACCCCUGGGAAGGAACGCAUUAGCAAUCCGCACACCCUAUUUAAUUAUUUCAAAAAUGCCAAAAUUGUUAAAUAGCUAGAAAAAUACUUUGAAUAAGAAGUUGGUGAUUAUAGUUCCUACUGCAUUUACCCCCAAACACAUACAUUAGUUUCAUCACACAGGAAAAUACUUGCAGAUGUAAACAAUUACACAGGGCCCCAGAUCUCUCUUAGCUGAGGGGUUCCUGCAGAGAUGUACUUUUAAAUCACAAUUUGUAGCACCCCCAAAAGCAUCCUUUGGGAAUUGCAAGUGGUCCACAUUAGAGCUGCAGACCCACAGCAUCCUUCUGCUUUUGGGGACCAGGGCAAAGGA
This 1070-nucleotide long non-coding RNA is filed under the name Equus caballus (horse). RNAcentral describes it as "lncRNA (ENSECAG00000046379.1)". Lineage: Eukaryota; Metazoa; Chordata; Mammalia; Perissodactyla; Equidae. The record is from RNAcentral.